AUUGAACGCUGGCGGCAGGCCUAACACAUGCAAGUCGCGCGGAGCGGCGGACGGGUGAGUAAUGGCUAGGAAUCUGCCUGGUCGUGGGGGAUAAAGUCCGGAAACGGGCGCUAAUACCGCAUAAUAGCAGAUGAGCCUUGGUCGGAUUAGAUAGUGGGUGGGGUAAAGGCCUACAAAGGCUACGAUCCGUAACUGGUCUUGGAGGAUGCUCAGUCACAUGGGAACUGAGAAAUGGUCCAGACUCCUACGGGUGGCAUCAGUGGGGAAUGGUGGACAAGGGGCGAAAGCCUGAUCCAGCCAUGCCGCGGGUGGGAAGAAGGUCUUCGGAUUGUAAAGCACUUUAAGUUGGGAGGCGUUACCUACAGAAUAAGCACCGGCUAACUUCGUGCCAGCAGCCGCGGUAAUUC
Molecule: ribosomal RNA, 407 nt
Filed under: uncultured bacterium
Lineage: Bacteria
Description: partial 16S ribosomal RNA
Rfam family: Bacterial small subunit ribosomal RNA
Source: RNAcentral